AGCUUUGCGCAGUGGCAGUAUCAUAGCCGGUGAGGUUUAUCCGAGGCUCGAUUAUUGCUAAUUAAAAUGAAAUUUUAAAAUGCACUCUAAACUUGAAAAAUAUACAUUUUAAAUUCAUAUAUUCCAUUUAUGAAUAUUGUAUUAACAA
This 148-nucleotide small nuclear RNA is filed under the name Chinchilla lanigera (long-tailed chinchilla). Its description in RNAcentral is "U4 spliceosomal RNA (ENSCLAG00000021042.1)". It matches the Rfam family "U4 spliceosomal RNA". From Rfam's summary of the family: U4 small nuclear RNA (U4 snRNA) is a component of the major U2-dependent spliceosome. The structure of U4 snRNA from yeast and human has been reported. U4 snRNA presents a k-turn RNA motif in the 5p-SL related to recognition of Snu13 protein. The record is from Rfam by way of RNAcentral. Lineage: Eukaryota; Metazoa; Chordata; Mammalia; Rodentia; Chinchillidae.